This 120-nucleotide ribosomal RNA is filed under the name uncultured bacterium. RNAcentral describes it as "partial 16S ribosomal RNA". It matches the Rfam family "Bacterial small subunit ribosomal RNA", at positions 32 to 145 of the family's 1533-position model. The record is from RNAcentral.
AAUCAACGCUGGCGGCGUGCCUCAGACAUGCAAGUCGAACGCGAAAGUCCCCUUCGGGGGGCAAGUAGAGUGGCGCACGGGUGAGUAACACGUAGGUAAUCUACCUUUGGAUUGGGAAUA